ACUCCUACGGGAGGCAGCAGUGGGGAAUAUUGCACAAUGGGGAAACCCUGAUGCAGCAACGCCGCGUGAGUGAUGACGGUUUUCGGAUUGUAAAGCUCUGUCUUCAGGGACGAUAAUGACGGUACCUGAGGAGGAAGCCACGGCUAACUACGUGCCAGCAGCCGCGGUAAUACGUAGGUGGCGAGCGUUGUCCGGAUUUACUGGGCGUAAAGGGGAGCGUAGGCGGAUCUUUAAGUGGGAUGUGAAAUACUCGGGCUCAACCUGGGGGCUGCAUUCCAAACUGGAGAUCUAGAGUGCAGGAGAGGAAAGGGGAAUUCCUAGUGUAGCGGUGAAAUGCGUAGAGAUUAGGAAGAACACCAGUGGCGAAGGCGACUUUCUGGACUGUAACUGACGCUGAGGCUCGAAAGCGUGGGGAGCAAACAGGAUUAGAUACCCUGGUAGCGACUGA
Molecule: ribosomal RNA, 448 nt
Filed under: uncultured bacterium
Lineage: Bacteria
Description: bacterial SSU rRNA
Rfam family: Bacterial small subunit ribosomal RNA
Source: RNAcentral